This 283-nucleotide long non-coding RNA is filed under the name Oryza brachyantha (malo sina). RNAcentral's name for it is "long non-coding RNA (OBRA_LNC000083)". Lineage: Eukaryota; Viridiplantae; Streptophyta; Magnoliopsida; Poales; Poaceae. The record is from RNAcentral.
CCGGUCUCCCUACCCUGCAACAAUAUAAGAAAAAGGGGGCAGCUGCUCUAGUAUGGAGUAUUUCCUCCAGCUCCAAAGCGGCGGAAGCGGAAGCAAAAGCCGCAGCCUUUCCGCUUUCCGCUCGCGCCGCACCCGCACUCGCAUUCCCACAAUCCCACCACGCCCGUCUCCGUCCUGUGACAUGCCACUCGCCCGCGCCGCCGGCAUCCCCCCUCCUCGUCGUUCCGCGCCCGAGGAGGAGGAGGAGGAGGAGGAGACGGCGGUGGCAGCGGCGGCGGGACCG